Molecule: long non-coding RNA, 849 nt
Filed under: Leptinotarsa decemlineata (Colorado potato beetle)
Lineage: Eukaryota; Metazoa; Arthropoda; Insecta; Coleoptera; Chrysomelidae
Description: uncharacterized LOC111516787
Source: RNAcentral
AUAUAGCACAAUUUUGACUCCGGAUGAUUCCUUCAUACCCGGUAUCGCUCUCAGCCUCUGUUCCUUAGCUUUGUGGCAGUUUGAUAUUCCGAAAAGUGACAGAAAGUACAUAGAUAAACUGGGAACGCUAGUAACAUUUACGGCUAUUGUAAGUCUGAUGUUCGCCACGGUGUCGAUUUAUAGGCUGAACUAUAUACUCACCUUUACCAUCGUAAUGGUAACGCUUCAUCAAAUAUUAGCUCCGAAAUUAGAUGAUGAUGCAGCGGCUGAAGACAAUGCGGGGGAUGAUGAUGACAGCAGAGUCAAAUACAAUGACUUCAAGUCCAAAAUGGAGUAAAGUUACCGAAUUUGAUCAAAAUUCGAGGCCUUGAGAUCCGAUGGGUUAGACGGAACUGAAGCAGAACUCGCUUUUUUUUCAUUGUGUUCAUUUUUUCAGAUCUUGAAUCACAGUAUGACAUGACGAUAAAUUAUUUUGCAGUAGCUCUGGCAAUGAUAGUUCAAAUUGAAACGAAGACACACAUAAUACUCCUUAAAUGUUUAGUAACUCAGCAUUAUUAUACUUGCUCUUGAAUGACUCGCCAAACGAAUAAGCCUCACCAAUAAUACGAAAAAUGUAUUUUCCACUUACAUUAUUUUCAUGUGUACAUCAUUCAAUACAUUAUGACAUGUAUUUUUUUUUCAUUAUGUGACAAAGGAAUGAAUUAGUGACUGUGAAUUAUUAGAAUAAUAGUUUAGAAAUGCUCUGAAAAAGUAUAUAGAGAUGCCUAAUUAUUUUCAAAUAUUCAAUAACGGCAUUGUAUACUUUAGUGAUAUCAUAGAAAUAAAUUAUUACUGUUACUUAUGUAACAA